AUGCGGUAUGACGGUACCCUUUCGAAUAAGAGGUUGCUAACUCUGUGCCAGCAGCAGCGGUAAUACAGAGACCUCGAGCGUUAUCCGGAUUUACUGGGCGUAAAGCGUCUGUAGGGGGUUUGUUAAGUUCCAAGUAAAAUCUUAAGGCUCAACUUUAAGUUCGCUUGGAAAACUAAUAAACUGGAGUCCAGCAGAGGUGCAUGGAACUUGCGGUGUAGGAGUGAAAUCCGUUGAUAUCGCAAGGAACACCAAAGGCGAAGGCAUUGCACUGGGCUGGUACUGACCCUGAGAGACGAAAGCGUGGGGAGCAAAACGGAUUAGAUACCCGUGUAGUCCACGCCGUAAACGAUGGAUACUAGAUGUUCGGGGAUUCGACCCCCUGGGUGUCACAGCUAACGCGUUAAGUAUCCCGCCUGGGAAGUACGGCCGCAAGGCUAAAACUCAAAGGAAUAGACGGGGAUCCGCACAAGCGGUGGAGCGUCUGGUUUAAUUUGAUAGUAAGCAAUGGACCUCACCAAGGUUUGACAUCCUAUGACAACCCUGGAAACAGGGCUUCCUUCGGGCAUAGUGACAGGUGCUGCAUGGUCGUCGUCAGUUCGUGCCGUGAGGUGUUCCGUUAAGUCGGGAAACGAACGAAACCCUCGUCGCAUGUUACAAAUUUCAUGCGAGACUGCCCGGGCCAACCGGGAGGAAGGCGGGGAUGACGUCAGAUCAGCAUGGCCCUUAUACCUUGGGCUACACAGGCGCUACAAUGGCCGGUACAAAGGGUUGCAAAACCGCGAGGUGAAGCUAAUCCCAUAAAGCCGGUCCAAGUUCGGAUUGGAGGCUGCAACUCGCCUCCAUGAAGUUGGAAUCGCUAGUAAUCGUGGAUCAGCCAUACCACGGUGAUACGUUCCCGGAUCUUGUACUCACCGCCCGUCACACCAAGAGAGUUGGUAGCUCCUGAAGC
RNAcentral lists this ribosomal RNA (949 nucleotides) under uncultured organism. Its description in RNAcentral is "bacterial SSU rRNA". It matches the Rfam family "Bacterial small subunit ribosomal RNA", at positions 462 to 1427 of the family's 1533-position model. The record is from RNAcentral.